UCUCCCAAGGGCCCGCGUCUGAAGGCGGCAGCCGCGUGGAGGAGAAAGGCACUGCUUUCCCCCGGUUUGGUCCCAGCUGAACACGAGAGAGACCUAAGGAAUACAGCACAGCAGAACCAUCACUUCCUCCUGAGACAAGCAAGGAAAGCUCCCGAAGGGGCGAGGGAAACAACGCGUGUCCGGAAAGAGAAGAACGUGGGUGACGAGGGACGCACAGGGCUCCGCGGCCCCGUGGCCUCCGUGGGCUCCGCGGCCUCCACGGCCUCCGCGGGCAGAAGCGAACAGAACUGAGCAGAGACACUGGACGUACUGGAUUUAGGACCCAUCCUAAGCCAGCAUGACCUGAGCUUAACUAGUUACACCUGUAAAGACCCUCCUGCCCAGGACGAUGGCCAUUCACAGGUGCGGGAGGUCGGGACAUUUAACACACCUUCCUGGGGGUGGGGGUGGGGGGACAUAAUUCUACUACAACGUCAUCGUCCAAAACACCUGGGGCUUCCUUCCAAGCAGCCAACCACCUCCUCUUGUUUGGGAACCCACGGGACAGGUAACUUGCCCUAUCCACCCAGGGAUGCAGCCCGGCGGUCCAUGCUGGUUCCCAGGAGGUGGGGUGGGGAAGUGGCCACCCAGAUAUGACAUAAUUGCCACCCAGAUUAUCUCUGUCCCUUCUCUUUGGAGCUUUCUCCUCUCCCCAAUUCCUUGUCUUGGCAUCCGGCUGCAUGGAGACACCAAGGCAAGGGGCAGGGUUCUUACAGCAGCGACAGACGUCUGGAGCGACGCUCAGCAUGACCUUUGACAUAAGCACUCAGUGAGACCGGCCAGAUAGUCUGUCCCCCACUGUGGGCGUUGAUACACGGCUCCAACUCCCAACACGGCCAUGAGACAGGAUGUCAGAGGGGACGAGGACAAUGGAAUCAGACCUCCCACAGCCAACGCGAGAGCAGCCACAGAGGGCAUGAGACUGUCCUACAGCCAAGCUGAAGCUGUUUUUGGCACCACUUGGAGGGGGGGGCGGUGAGUUUUGAAGCCUCUCUGGUCAUGGCAGGUACGACUUCUGUUUAAGACGCCCACCCCUUCAGACACCAACACGUCUCAGCUGCCUUUGGAUCCCUCCCUUCCCUUCCUUCUCAUUGUUCGCCCAUCACCUGGCAACGAUGAUGUCAAACCACCGCCUGGUGGCACUGUGUGACACCUGCCGCCUGCCCGCCUGCCUGCAAAUUCCACGGGCUCUUCAUAAUUCAAGGUUUGAAUUAUGCGUGCCACGGAGUCAGGGGAGAGGCGAGGGCUUGCUUCCUCUCUGGGAAACAUGUCCUUUGGAGGUGAUGCCGCUUUGGAAAGGAAAACUACUUUCGCAGCAAACUCCCCAAGGACCUGUGGUCUGAAGAAUUUCUCUGUGGUGAAACCAGAAGAAAUUGCCACGGGUCCAGAUCAGAAAGAAGCAAAGUCGUGUUCCCCUUGAGCCACGGGCUGCCCUUUGCUGCUGAGAUUCUUUGCAAUUUGGGGCGAGGGUGGGGAUGCUGAAUUCGGGAUGAAGAGUGCAAGGCAAGCUAUCCAGGGAGGGUGGAUGGAGCAUAGGAGGGCCUUGAGGGGGGAGGCGGGGGGAGGCAUAAAGGUGAAGUGACAGCGUCACAACACUAGGUGGCAGCAGCCAUACACAAAUCACGCGCCCACGAGUCCAGGUCAGAAUCCACCUGCCUUCCCGGGAGCAUUCACUUUGCGCCUUUCUCUUCUCCCGUGGUGGCUGCGAUGCCAUGUGGGUGAGGAGAGAACCUCCUGCUUCCAGAGGCAUCGUAAACAGGGUGCGAGGAAGAAGUCAAAAGUGGGCGUCGGAUCGUUUGAUGACAGGCCUGGACUAAAAUUAUGGUCUUCCCCUAAAUCAAAGGGUCUAGAGACGGCCUGCAAAGGGCCAGACAGUAAAUACUCUCCGCCUUCGGCCUUGCGACUCAGUGGCAAUUACCCAACUCGGCUAUCGCAGCACAGAAGGAGCUACAGAUGAUCUGUAAAGCAAACGGGGGUUGGCUGUGUUCUAACAAAAUGCCGUUUCCAGAACCGGGUGUUGGGCCAGAGUUUGCUGACCCCCUGCACUAAAUGAACAGCAGCGAGCCUCAUCCGCGUGUACCUCAGGCACAUGCAAGAUCUGCUGACAGAUGCCGUCUGGACAUUCUGCAUUUAAAACCUCUUCCUCCCACUGCCCCCCGCCCCGUCAUUCCCACAUUGUCGCCACCUCCCUUGUCCUCCUGGUAGCUGUGAAGGCACACAGCCGAGGGCUGUCAACACGCAUUCGGUCAAGGGCUGGAUUCUUUCCACUGGUCUAUCUCUUCCCCUCAAGUGAUCCCAUCAGAGCCAGAUCACUGUUCAAAUCACCUCUUGGGCUUGGUCAUUUCCCGGCGCCAGAACCCACCCAAACGCCAGCUCCUUGCUCAGUGAUGUGUUUCUCCAGCCGUCAGGUGUGCCUUCUAGAAACCACCAGUGAACUCCAUCCUCGGUGACUUCAUCUCUCCGCCUUGAGCCCUACCUGGGCACUUGUUGACAGCACUCCCUGCCUCCGUCAUCUCCACCUACCCAGGCUGACCACCCGCCUGCUCCUGAUGAGAUACCACCUGUUCUGGGAAGUGCCCCUGACGUGAGGGAAGGAUACAGAUUUGGUUGGUAUCCCUCCCUUGGAGCUUCCGCUCUGCCUGUCUUACGGUGCCUGCGGGUUUCGCUGCCCACUAACCCACAGUUUGGCUAUCUUUCCUGUUAGUGAUUUUCACUUAUGUCACACUGAGGUCACAGAUUUUGGGAAACACGCAUGCAUUCAUGCUUUAAAAAGAACGUAGGUUUUUUCAUCGCUGGGUUGGGGUUCUACAUCUGUCCCUGACAUGCAUUGUUAACUUCUUAUCUGUUUGCUCAGCGCCAGAGAGGGGGAUAAUAAACCCUCAC
Molecule: long non-coding RNA, 2922 nt
Organism: Canis lupus familiaris (dog)
Lineage: Eukaryota; Metazoa; Chordata; Mammalia; Carnivora; Canidae
Exons: 5
Source: RefSeq, a predicted model, not a curated record